RNAcentral lists this ribosomal RNA (253 nucleotides) under uncultured bacterium. RNAcentral's name for it is "partial 16S ribosomal RNA". It matches the Rfam family "Bacterial small subunit ribosomal RNA", at positions 524 to 776 of the family's 1533-position model. The record is from RNAcentral.
UACAGAGGUCUCAAGCGUUGUUCGGAUUCAUUGGGCGUAAAGGGUGCGUAGGCGGCGCGGUAAGUCGGGUGUGAAAUCUUGGAGCUUAACUCCGAAACUGCAUUCGAUACUGCCGUGCUUGAGGACUGGAGAGGAGACUGGAAUUUACGGUGUAGCGGUGAAAUGCGUAGAUAUGACAUAGAACACCUAUUGCGAAGGCAGCUUACUACGCAGAUAUUGACGCUCAUGCACGAAAGCGUGGGGAUCAAACAGG